RNAcentral lists this ribosomal RNA (820 nucleotides) under uncultured bacterium. Its description in RNAcentral is "bacterial SSU rRNA". It matches the Rfam family "Bacterial small subunit ribosomal RNA", at positions 58 to 874 of the family's 1533-position model. The record is from RNAcentral.
CAAGUCGAACGGCAGCACGGGAGCUAUCCUGGUGGCGAGUGGCGAACGGGUGAGUAAUACAUCGGAACGUGCCCAAUCGUGGGGGAUAACGCAGCGAAAGCUGUGCUAAUACCGCAUGAGAUCUACGGAUGAAAGCAGGGGACCGCAAGGCCUUGCGCGAAUGGAGCGGCCGAUGGCAGAUUAGGUAGUUGGUGAGGUAAAGGCUCACCAAGCCUGCGAUCUGUAGCUGGUCUGAGAGGACGACCAGCCACACUGGGACUGAGACACGGCCCAGACUCCUACGGGAGGCAGCAGUGGGGAAUUUUGGACAAUGGGCGCAAGCCUGAUCCAGCCAUGCCGCGUGCAGGAUGAAGGCCUUCGGGUUGUAAACUGCUUUUGUACGGAACGAAAAGGCUUUCUCUAAUAAAGAGGGCUCAUGACGGUACCGUAAGAAUAAGCACCGGCUAACUACGUGCCAGCAGCCGCGGUAAUACGUAGGGUGCAAGCGUUAAUCGGAAUUACUGGGCGUAAAGCGUGCGCAGGCGGUGAUGUAAGACAGUUGUGAAAUCCCCGGGCUCAACCUGGGAACUGCAUCUGUGACUGCAUCGCUGGAGUGCGGCAGAGGGGGAUGGAAUUCCGCGUGUAGCAGUGAAAUGCGUAGAUAUGCGGAGGAACACCGAUGGCGAAGGCAAUCCCCUGGGCCUGCACUGACGCUCAUGCACGAAAGCGUGGGGAGCAAACAGGAUUAGAUACCCUGGUAGUCCACGCCCUAAACGAUGUCAACUGGUUGUUGGGUCUUCACUGACUCAGUAACGAAGCUAACGCGUGAAGUUGACCGCCU